GAGAAGAACGUAGCAAAAUGCGAUAAGUAAUGUGAAUUGCAGAAUUCAGUGAAUCAUCGAAUCUUUGAACGCACAUUGCGCCCGCCAGUAUUCUGGCGGGCAUGCCUGUUCGAGCGUCAUUUCAACCCUCAAGCACAGCUUGGUGUUGGGACUCGCGUUAAUUCGCGUUCCCCAAAUUGAUUGGCGGUCACGUCGAGCUUCCAUAGCGUAGUAGUAAAACCCUCGUUACUGGUAAUCGUCGCGGCCACGCCGUUAAACCCCAACUUCUGAAUGUUGACCUCGGAUCAGGUAGGAAUACCCGCUGAACUUAAGCAUAUCAAUAAGCGGAGGA
RNAcentral lists this unclassified non-coding RNA (331 nucleotides) under soil metagenome. RNAcentral describes it as "partial contains 5.8S ribosomal RNA, internal transcribed spacer 2, and large subunit ribosomal RNA". The stretch from base 3 to 119 matches the Rfam family "5.8S ribosomal RNA", at positions 38 to 154 of the family's 154-position model. The record is from RNAcentral.